GGGAGGGGCUGCUCUGGUAAACAGGAAACUGAAAGUACUCAGAAAUUUCAGACUCCAUUUUACAGUCACGAAGCAGGAGCAGGAAAAAAAACAGGCUUAAGAUGAGUGAUUUGGAGGAGGAGAAGGACAGAGCAGAGUCUCCAGGAUCCAGCUGCAUGUCUCUGAAGAGUGACUGGUCCAAAGAACCCUCUCCAGCCUUCAGUAUUGACCCGGACACCUCAGAUACAAAAGGUCAGCAGCACAGACAGAAAGCAGGGCCUCCAGGAUCCAGCCGUCUGUCUAUGAGGAGUGACUUGUCCAUAGAACCCCUCCAGCCUUCCAUAUCGACCGUGAACUCUCAAACACAAAAGGUCAGCAGCACAGACAGAAAGCAGGGCCUCCAGGAUCCAGCCGUCUGUCUAUGAGGAGUGACUUGUCCAUAGAACCCCCUCCAGCCUUCCAUAUCGACCGUGAACUCUCAAACACAAAGUUCUGUAGGCAGCACACUUCCACAUACUGCGACCAGUCUCCUAAAUCAGGAGACUCCUCCUGUCUCCAGUGUCAAGAAAGAUCCCCAGUGUGUAGAACCAGAGCUGGACUGCA
This is a non-coding RNA of Maylandia zebra (zebra mbuna), 582 nucleotides long. The record is from RefSeq and is a predicted model, not a curated record. NCBI's taxonomy places the organism in Eukaryota, Metazoa, Chordata, Actinopteri, Cichliformes, Cichlidae.